This is a long non-coding RNA of Neofelis nebulosa (Clouded leopard), 2428 nucleotides long. RefSeq lists it as uncharacterized. The transcript has 4 exons. The record is from RefSeq and is a predicted model, not a curated record. NCBI's taxonomy places the organism in Eukaryota, Metazoa, Chordata, Mammalia, Carnivora, Felidae.
CAGUGCCCCCGGUGCCUUCUUAUCCAGCGCUUCCAGCGGGAGUGGAAGGGGGCCAGAAGGAGGGUUCGGGGCAGCGUUGAUUGCUUUCUCGUUAAUAAUUUUCCUUGAUCCCCCCCCAGGACGCCGAGAGGCUGCAGGGAGCCUGGGCGGGCCCUGGAGGCCCCGGGAGGGGAAAGCGGCCCACAUGCCUGGCAUUCCUGCUCUGCUUCCACAUUGUUUGUUUGUUUGCUUGUUUGCAAGUACGGCCGGCAGGAGUUCCUUUCUCCUUUCAGAUUCUGCUGGGACUUUUAGCAAGUUCUAGAACCACCCCCUGGCCCAGGCGGGGAACGUUCCAGCACCCUCCGGGCUACACCCCCCUCUCCCCACCCCGACACCCACGCCGAGGAUUAUCUUUCCUUGGAGUGUGUGCAUCUAGGCUGCAUGUGCACCCUGGCCACGCAGAGCCCACGCCCAGUGUCUCUGGGCCUCCCCCGUCGGAACCGGAACCGCCACCCUGCGGGGAGGUGGGAGGUGGGGACGGCCCCGCCGAGGGCGGCAAAGAGCAGAUUUCUGCCGCUUGGCCGGGCUGAGCUGCGGUGGACGCCGAGCCUGGGUCCAGGGGAGGGGGCCCGACCGCGGACGCCGGUGGACAGCGGCCAGCCUCCCUGGUGAGGAAUCCCAGCUCGCUGUGAGGUGCACACGCCAGGCCUGUCUUUCCACGAAGUCAGCUUUAUUCGGUCACAAAGCAAGGCCCUCGGGUUCCCGGCGGGAUUCCACCGAGCCUGCAGCCCCGUGUCUGUGUCCCAGUGUGCAUUCCAGCACAUUCCAUCACCCCAAAAGAAGCCCGUCUCAUCAGCCGUCAUCUCCCCCCCGCCCCCACGAGCCCCCUUCUCAUCCGUGGAUGAGCCUGUUCUGGGCGUUUCACACACGCGGACUCACACCCCGUGUGGCCUCUCGUGUCCGGUUCCCUCCCCGAGCGUCGUGUGUUCGGGGUCCGUCACUCCUGCUCGCGACUCAGUGAUGUGCGCAUGCACGGGGGACACGUCGGUCUGUGGACGUGCGCGUGCACCGUGGACACGUCGUGUGUGUCCCUCCACAAGUGGGCGGGCAUCUUUGGCUGCUGGGAACAGUUGUGAGCGGGCACCGUGGGCACACUCGCGUGUGCAGUUUGAGACAUGCACACACGGGCGGCGAGUCUCUGCCUGGCUGUCUUCCACGGCGGCCGCCCCGUUUUACCGUCUUCCCAUCGCUGAGUGGACGCGGCGCGGAUCCUGGGGUCGGACCCUGGCCUUGGUGCCUGGUGGACUCAGGCCGUCGCCAGGCACCGCGGACCACGUGGUGUGUUUUCAUCGUUCGAGAGCCGGGUGCACGGAGAGGGCUGGGAAGCUGGACAAGUUUGGGCAGCCCCACGCUGCGCUGCUGCCUUGGACUCCGUGGGCUCGUAAAACCUGCCCCGAGUGUUCGCCGCACCACUUUCUUGAGCGUGAGGCCUCAUCGCAACUCGGGAAACUGAGGCUCAGGCGGUCCCAGUCGGUCACUCCUCCCAGAGGUGGGGGAUAUGAAGCAUCAUCUGCCUGAUCCUGGUUUCCAGCCACCUUCAGGGUCCGUCCGGGCACUGGCAACCCACCUUGGUCCCAUGGAUUCCUGUGAUGGUCUCACAGACAGUGGCCUGAGCUCUGCGGAGGCAAAUGGUGUCCAUACACAGCCCACGGUGUUUACAGCAGCUUCAUUCAGAAUUGGCCAAACUUGGGAGCAAGUGUGCUGCCCUUCCUUCAACAGGUGACAGAUAGACCGCGCUCCAUCCGGCACUAAAAACGGGCCAUCGAGCCGCACAGAGACACGGGGGAGCCUCAGACGCACAGCACUCGGUGACAGAAGCCAGGCUGAGGAGGCGACACACGGGGUGGUUCCAAGUCCAGGAUGUUCUGGACGAGGCAGGACCACGGAGGCAUGGCUGCCGGGGUGGGGGAGGGUGAAUGGGAGGAGCACGGGAAUUUCAGGGCGGUGGGUCUACUCCGGACGACACCGUGGUGGUGGGCAGGUGUCCGUGACAUUCGUCCGAACCCACGGGGUGUGCCGCACCAGGAGUGACCUCGUGUCCGCUGUGGACCGUGGUUCGUCACCUUCAGAGCUGGCUCACCCGUGUGACUAACGUACCAGGCCAAUGCACACUGCUAAUGAUGAAAAGACACCACGGUGAGGGAGACGGAGGGAGCUCUAUGCAGGUUCUGCUCAGUUUUUUGUAACCCUCAAACUGAUUUUUUAAAAAGCGUACUUUUGGGGCGCCUGGGUGGCUCGGUCGGUUAAGCGGCCGACUUCGGCUCAGGUCACGAUCUCGCGGUACGUGACUUUGAGCCCCGCGUCGGGCUCUGGGCUGACGGCUCAGAGCCUGGAGCCUGUUUCGGAUUCUGUGUCUCCCUCUCUCUGACCCUCCCCUGUUCAUGCUCUG